This 413-nucleotide long non-coding RNA is filed under the name Pan troglodytes (chimpanzee). RNAcentral's name for it is "long non-coding RNA NONPTRT000554". The record is from RNAcentral. Lineage: Eukaryota; Metazoa; Chordata; Mammalia; Primates; Hominidae.
AGAGAAGAGUGUGAAGCCUGCUUGGAGAAGAGGAGGAGGCUGAAAAGAAGGCAAAGAGUGAAGAUAGAGAAACAAGAUGGAAGUGGGGGAGAAAAACAGGGAUGAGAGAAUGCCAUGGUGGUGCUGAGAAGGAAAGGAGAGACUUUUCUGCUUGUAAAGGGCAGAAGAUGGCAGAAUCCAGUGACGCAGGGGCAUCUGGCUCCAGAAAUAAUAGGUCACUUGGCACCCACUUCUUCAAAACGGAGGUGUGACAAAAAUGGAAAAGAGAAAGUAAAAAAUAUGGGUAACCCCACAAGAAAAGCAAAUACAAAGGUCAAAUCAGGCUUCAGGGGCAGGGCAAAGCAGAAUGAUUCUUUGAUAUGAAAGAAAUGUCUUCAGCUGACCUAAGCUGAAGGGCAGGAACUUCAAUCAGC